UCAAAUUGAUGGGGAGACAUAUCUAUUAGACACGGAUGGUCAAUCCAUCUACGUAAAUGCAAAUGUGGACAUUUAUGAUUUCAACGUUCCAAAAGAUGUACCUGUUUCACAGCUCAAUGGAAAAAAACGUAAACGUUUUCAUGAUAUUCUUGAAAAGUUAUAUUCAGACAAAAAAUCAGAUUGUGUUAAAAAGAAGUUAUCUUAACAAAAGAUAGUAAAUAAAAAGCAAGGAAAUUUAUCACUGGAAAUUGAAAAUUCAUCAUUGGAAGUAGAUGAAAUAGAAAACAAGAAGACUUUUAUUAAAAGAAUUCUACAUCUUGGAUGGAAACAUAGAAACCAAUUAAAUUCUAGAUACGAGUACAUGGGUGCAACAGUUGGACCAAGAAUAAAGAUUACUCUUAAUGGGAAUGAAGAUUAUCCAUUACAAAAAUUAAAGGACGUUCUUCUAAAAGAAUAUAUCACCGAAA
Temnothorax curvispinosus is the source of this 467-nucleotide long non-coding RNA. RefSeq lists it as uncharacterized. The transcript is spliced from 3 exons. Lineage: Eukaryota; Metazoa; Arthropoda; Insecta; Hymenoptera; Formicidae. The record is from RefSeq and is a predicted model, not a curated record.